GAGCCCAUGGGCGGCAGCUAUACAUGCAAGUCGGACGGCAGCACAGCAGAGCUUGCUCUGUGGGUGGCGAGUGGCGGACGGGCGAGGAAUACAUGGGAAUCUGCCCAGUCGUGGGGGAUAACGUAUGGAAACGUACGCUAAUACCGCAUGCGCCCUACGGGGGAAAGCCGGGGACCGAAAGGCCUGGCGCGAUUGGAUGAGCCCAUGUUCGAUUAGCUAGUUGGCGGGGUAACGGCCCACCAAGGCGACGAUCGAUAGCUGGUCUGAGAGGAUGAUCAGCCGCACUGGGACUGAGACACGGCCCAGACUCCUACGGGAGGCAGCAGUAGGGAAUAUUGGACAAUGGGGGCAACCCUGAUCCAGCCAUGCCGCGUGAGUGAAGAAGGCCCUCGGGUUGUAAAGCUCUUUUGUUGGGGAAGAAAAGCAUGUGGUUAAUACCCAUGUGUUCUGACGGUACCCAAAGAAUAAGCACCGGCUAACUUCGUGCCAGCAGCCGCGGUAA
RNAcentral lists this ribosomal RNA (502 nucleotides) under uncultured Xanthomonas sp. Its description in RNAcentral is "bacterial SSU rRNA". It matches the Rfam family "Bacterial small subunit ribosomal RNA", at positions 38 to 523 of the family's 1533-position model. Lineage: Bacteria; Pseudomonadati; Pseudomonadota; Gammaproteobacteria; Lysobacterales; Lysobacteraceae. The record is from RNAcentral.